Molecule: long non-coding RNA, 682 nt
Filed under: Monodelphis domestica (gray short-tailed opossum)
Lineage: Eukaryota; Metazoa; Chordata; Mammalia; Didelphimorphia; Didelphidae
Description: lncRNA (ENSMODG00000035282.2)
Source: RNAcentral
UGCUCUAGUGUUAUCGGAGCAGUGUAAGAAGAAUGCAUGGAAAGACAAGAUGGUGGAGUAUCAAGAAGCCAUGCAGUUGAUCCCUUGUCCACAAAUCCUCCAUACAGAUCUAGAAAAUGCACGACUCAAUCCUGAUGGGGAAAUCCAGAAAAAGUCACAGGAGAGGCUCUGCACCAGGGCAAGAGGAUGCCUGCGAAUCAGGGGGCACUACCGAACCCUUAUUAGAUCCACAGCAGAUCGAAUGGGCCCUGUAGGGGGCCGAAGCCUAGAAGCUGGUGAGGGCCCUGAGGUCUUGGAGGGCCAUGGGGCACCUCCAAGGAAUUCACUCACAUUCUUGGAUGGGGCCUUAGGCCUGGGCAUACUAGGAGUCAGUGCUCGCCUGGUCCUGGCCCUGGCUGGUCCAGCUAUUAUGCUCCUGCUGCUGUUUCUAAUGUUGAGUUUCCUGACUUUUGACCUUAUCCAUGGGCCCCAGGAGUUGCCUCUGCCUCGAAGGCCAAUGUUUAGACCCCUUGGCCUGGGAGCAGGGGGUGAAGGCCCCCGCUUGCGAGAACCACUGCUCCCACCUACCCUGAGUCAUGUCCUGGAUGGAUUCCUUCUCCUUACAGGUCUAGGGCUGAUCCUGGGGGCUGUGAUGCCCUUCAGCAUCUUCAGCCUUAUAGUUAGCCUCUGGCCUCUGGCCUGA